AUGAAUAANNNNNNNNNNNNNNNNNNNNNNNNNNNNNNNNNNNNCGGGCGAAGCUGCCGCUCGGUAUCGUCUUCUCGACGGCCCUUUUCUGCGGGGAGGGGGCGGCGGCCACCGUCCUCUGCCUCUCCUACGGCCACUCCGACGACCGCUUCUGGCUGGCGCUCACCGUCUUCUUCGUGCUCUGCCCCUCCGUCCUGGUCCAGCUCACUCUCAUCUUCGUCCACCGCGACCUCAGCCGCGACCGCCCCCUCGUCCUCCUCAUGCACUUGCUCCAGCUCGGGCCCAUCAUCAGGUGCAUGGAGGCCCUGGUGGUGUACUGCUGGUCGGGGAAGGAGGAGGAGCCCUACGUCACCAUCACCCGCAAGCGGCGGCUGCGGAACGGCUACGAGGUGGAGAUGGAGCAGGAGGUGGGCCACUCGGUCCGCCGGCUGGCCACCCACCGCAACGCCUUCAAGCGCAUGGCUGUCAUCCAGGCCUUCCUGGGCUCCACCCCGCAGCUCACCCUCCAGCUCUACAUCAGCAUCCUGGAGAAGUACGUCCCUGCUGCCCGAGGUAAGGGCACCUGCCACGGGGGCCGUGCAGGUGGGACACCACCGGGGCACGGUGGUAGCUCCUUAGCCACAUGUGGCACCUGAACAAAGCUCUGGGGGCUUGCCACCAGACUGCCCUAGACGUGGAGGAUGGCCCACAGAGGUUUCAUGCUCGUCUGUCCCCCCUGGUUUGCUUGUCCCACCCCCAGCGCGCCGCUUUUCCAGCUGGGAGGGUGGGAAGAGCUGGCCAUGGCCAAGGCUCGGUGCUUGUAGACAUCUGCCCUGAGGAGCCAUGCCACCCACCCGCUGCCCUGUCCCAUGGAGAUGUCAUGCCCCUGCCCCAGGAUGCUCCAGUUCACAUUCGUUACUGGGUUUUUCCAGCUCUGGCUUCCCCAUGUUCCCUCUCCUGGAUCUAUUUCUGAGCCUUUCCCAGCAGCCGGAGCUCCCAGCCCAGAGCUCCCGGGCUCCCUCGCCUGCUCCCGGGGUGUUGGUGUGCUCAGGGGCUGGAUGUGCCGGAGAGAGCUGUUAAAUCCCACUCUGGAAUGUCGAUGAACCAGGCGUGAAGGCACUGCCCUUGCCAACCUGCUUUCCUGGCCAUACUGGGAGCCCAGACCUUGCCCUCUGUGCCCACCUACGCAACAGUGGGGUGGCCCUUGGUCCAGGUGAGGGCAGAGGGGUCCUCACAGCAACGGACCGUGCCCCGGUCCCCCUUGAGCAGCAUUUCUUGUGUAGGGCAAGGGGGGAUCCUAGCACAGGAAUGGCCCCAGUUUGGGAGAGGCUCCUGGUUUAUUGGUUCAGGGAGAAAAUCUGGGAGCAGAGCCUCCUGCUGCCUGCAGCUCCCCCCACAGCCACCCCAUCAUGGGGUCUGUCACCACCAGCCACCAGCUGUCCCAGCAGUGCCCAGUGAGACUCCUGCUGCAAGCCCCGGGGCUUGGCACCCCACACAUUCCACCCAGGGUUGUCAUCCCAAGCUUUGCACCCAGGGUUGGCACCCAACACUUCACACCCAGGGUUGGUACCCCAUGCUUUGCACCCAGGGUUGGUAUCCCAAGCUUUCCACCCAUGGUCGUCACCCUAUGCUUCACUCC
Molecule: long non-coding RNA, 1618 nt
Filed under: Calidris pugnax (ruff)
Lineage: Eukaryota; Metazoa; Chordata; Aves; Charadriiformes; Scolopacidae
Description: lncRNA (ENSCPUG00000005965.1)
Source: RNAcentral